RNAcentral lists this long non-coding RNA (715 nucleotides) under Panicum hallii. RNAcentral describes it as "long non-coding RNA (PHAL_LNC000715)". Lineage: Eukaryota; Viridiplantae; Streptophyta; Magnoliopsida; Poales; Poaceae. The record is from RNAcentral.
CAGGCCGUUGAACGGAUCCGGCCAACCCGGUGGUGCCCAUCCGGCGCUCCUCUCCAAUUCUUUAUUUUUUUUUCUUUUGUACAGUGUCCAUCUCCUGAUCUGUAUUAUUCUUCCCUGGCAUUUUUUUUUGUUGCUCGUGGUGGCACUGCCCUAGCUUGUGGCUCGAAGUUGGCCUUCCGGUGUUCGUCAGCUGGAUUUCUUGAGUUCUUUUUUUAUGAAUGAUCAAAAGAUUAAUCAGAUUAGGUCAGCGUCUCUAAUCUCUAUGUUUUGUUUCAGCUGGGGCCUAAACUAUAGCGUGGCCGCAGUGCGAUGUGCGCCGCACCAGGAACUGUUCCCGAAGCUUCUAGUCACAAUCUAGUUCGGUCUGCCCAUGUCACACACACCCUCCAUCGUUGUUUAAAGUGGUUGAGCUCUAUUGGAGUUAGUUAAGGGGAAAAAAGAAAGAAAGAAAAUGUAGAGGAAGGCCAUUAGGAUGACAUGGUGUAGGAGGGUGACUCGAUCGUACCCGUGAUCAUCCAUACGUGGCCCUCCAAUGCAAGGAUGCGGAAAAUGGAGCUCUUCACUACCGGUGAAUCUUACCUAGUCCUCGAGAAUCACAAAUAAUACCGCCAAUGUAAAUAGUAAAGCCGAUGUACAAGUUAGAACAGCAUUUCUUUUAAUUAGGUUAUUAUUGUAAACGUUGCAUAAUAUAGUCUGGAAUUUUUCAGGGUGCUCA